AAGUCGUAACAAGGUUUCCGUAGGUGAACCUGCGGAAGGAUCAUCAGCAAAAGCUUUGAAAAAGUCGCUGUCCAGCCCCUUUGUGGCGCAGCGACCAGACUCCCGAGUGGGUCUGAACGCGUCUUGAGCAAAGAUCUGUUUCUUUUUUUUCAAAUCGAAAAAGCACAACUUUUGACAACGGAUCUCUUGGCUCUC
Molecule: unclassified non-coding RNA, 195 nt
Filed under: fungal sp.
Lineage: Eukaryota; Fungi
Description: partial internal transcribed spacer region
Rfam family: Eukaryotic small subunit ribosomal RNA (bases 1-46)
Source: RNAcentral